Molecule: ribosomal RNA, 204 nt
Filed under: Triticum aestivum (bread wheat)
Lineage: Eukaryota; Viridiplantae; Streptophyta; Magnoliopsida; Poales; Poaceae
Description: partial small subunit ribosomal RNA
Source: RNAcentral
AUGGGAGCAGCACUUGAAGGACCCGGCGUGGGUGGCCGACACGCAGACGCACUUGGAAGCGGGCCCGUGGCGACGGCGCCGACGCCGACCCGGGCCACCUCCUCCACGUAUUCUUGGAACUGUGGCUGGCCGAUUUACAUGAAAUUAAUUCCCUCAGUUGUGGUGGCAAAUAUAAUACACAUAAUCCAUAUUGUUAUGCACUAG